AAGCUUAAGAAGUUAUGAUAGGUUGAAUAAACUAUAAAGUGAGAAUGCAAUUCCAAACUUCCUGAUUCUAUUUGCCGUAUUUGUGCAUGCAUGCACAUACCCACACACACAAACAUAGACACACACUUACAUUCUUUUACGUCACCAGAAAACAUGGACUGAGGCAUAGAAGAUGAAAUGCACUGCAUAGGCCUGUUCUUUUGGCCCAUACUGUGCGAAUGUUUCGACACCCUUGUGUGCUAGACAAGCAUAGCAACUUAGCAAGAGAUGAAGCAUCAGAAAAUUCUUCCCUGUAUCAGUUGGGCUCCUAGGAAGCCUCUAGCCCCAUCCUCAAAACAGGAUAUUUUCAUCCUUAGAUAAAGUGAUUUGCUGUACCCCAAAUUUUCAGGGAUUGCAGGGUCUCAGGCUCUUGGACCUCUCACACCUCAUCAAUCAAGGUGCACUGAAGCAUAGGAUACCAAAGCAUUCAUACAUCCUUGAUAGAUUAGAUCCUGACACUCAGACAACUUUGAAGUUUUCCCUCGAGUAGGAGUUUACCAUGCCGAUUAGAUGAUCUAUAUGGCAAAUUAUAAGAUGGUUUGACACUUCCCUCAUCAGCUCACCAUAGGAAUGGGAUCUUCUUAUCUGCUGACUUCAUUUUUUCAGUGAUCCACUACUUUUCCUGAUGCUUUAAAGAUCAAAUCUAAACAGCAAUAUUUCAGGGAUUAAAUCAAUUAAUUUUGCAGGUUCGGCAGAACGGAAAUUAGUGAGGCAGCAAUUUAUUUUAAAACAGGCAACGUGAUAACAAAGAAAUGAAAUAGAUGUAGCGUUGGAGAAGCUUUGCGGUUAGUGAGAGUCCAUAGAUAUAAACUAUUAAUGUACAAGACCAACUGGAGGCAGCAGCAACUCAGUCAGGAAACUAAUGUACAACAGUGAAAACAGGUUCAAUGGGGAUUAAGAUUUGGCUUUCUUUUUAUUCAUAAUCAGGUUUUGUUUGUGUCCACAAAGUUCUACAGUAAAUUUUCCAGCAGUUUUCCGUGAGUCAGGUACUCUUGACUAGCUCGCACUCUUCUUCUGGUCAUGCAUCGAUCAUCUGUUUCAACAAUUAAAGUGGUGGAUUUUCUCCAUAGCUAAUUCCUAUCUACCAGGGUUGAGAAAACUGUCCUUUGUCAAAGAACAAUGCAUUGUACUAUAUUUUGAAGGCAAAACAGCAAUAAAUACCUGAAUGAGUGGGGAUUCUCUGGCCAAA
Phoenix dactylifera (date palm) is the source of this 1228-nucleotide non-coding RNA. NCBI's taxonomy places the organism in Eukaryota, Viridiplantae, Streptophyta, Magnoliopsida, Arecales, Arecaceae. The record is from RefSeq and is a predicted model, not a curated record.